RNAcentral lists this ribosomal RNA (2725 nucleotides) under Salmonella enterica subsp. enterica serovar Enteritidis. Its description in RNAcentral is "partial 23S ribosomal RNA". It matches the Rfam family "Bacterial large subunit ribosomal RNA". The record is from RNAcentral. Lineage: Bacteria; Pseudomonadati; Pseudomonadota; Gammaproteobacteria; Enterobacterales; Enterobacteriaceae.
GGGUUGUGAGGUUAAGCGACUAAGCGUACACGGUGGAUGCCCUGGCAGUCAGAGGCGAUGAAGGGCGUGCUAAUCUGCGAUAAGCGCCGGUAAGGUGAUAUGAACCGUUAUAACCGGCGAUACCCGAAUGGGGAAACCCAGUGUGAUUCGUCACACUAUCAUUAACUGAAUCCAUAGGUUAAUGAGGCGAACCGGGGGAACUGAAACAUCUAAGUACCCCGAGGAAAAGAAAUCAACCGAGAUUCCCCCAGUAGCGGCGAGCGAACGGGGAGGAGCCCAGAGCCUGAAUCAGCAUGUGUGUUAGUGGAAGCGUCUGGAAAGGCGCGCGAUACAGGGUGACAGCCCCGUACACAAAAGCGCAUGUGCUGUGAGCUCGAUGAGUAGGGCGGGACACGUGGUAUCCUGUCUGAAUAUGGGGGGACCAUCCUCCAAGGCUAAAUACUCCUGACUGACCGAUAGUGAACCAGUACCGUGAGGGAAAGGCGAAAAGAACCCCGGCGAGGGGAGUGAAAAAGAACCUGAAACCGUGUACGUACAAGCAGUGGGAGCACCCUUUGGGUGUGACUGCGUACCUUUUGUAUAAUGGGUCAGCGACUUAUAUUCUGUAGCAAGGUUAACCGAAUAGGGGAGCCGGAGGGAAACCGAGUCUUAACCGGGCGUUAAGUUGCAGGGUAUAGACCCGAAACCCGGUGAUCUAGCCAUGGGCAGGUUGAAGGUUGGGUAACACUAACUGGAGGACCGAACCGACUAAUGUUGAAAAAUUAGCGGAUGACCUGUGGCUGGGGGUGAAAGGCCAAUCAAACCGGGAGAUAGCUGGUUCUCCCCGAAAGCUAUUUAGGUAGCGCCUCGUGAAUUCAUCUCCGGGGGUAGAGCACUGUUUCGGCUAGGGGGCCAUCCCGGCUUACCAACCCGAUGCAAACUGCGAAUACCGGAGAAUGUUAUCACGGGAGACACACGGCGGGUGCUAACGUCCGUCGUGAAGAGGGAAACAACCCAGACCGCCAGCUAAGGUCCCAAAGUCAUGGUUAAGUGGGAAACGAUGUGGGAAGGCCCAGACAGCCAGGAUGUUGGCUUAGAAGCAGCCAUCAUUUAAAGAAAGCGUAAUAGCUCACUGGUCGAGUCGGCCUGCGCGGAAGAUGUAACGGGGCUAAACCAUGCACCGAAGCUGCGGCAGCGACACUGUGUGUUGUUGGGUAGGGGAGCGUUCUGUAAGCCUGUGAAGGUGUGUCGUGAGGCAUGCUGGAGGUAUCAGAAGUGCGAAUGCUGACAUAAGUAACGAUAAAGCGGGUGAAAAGCCCGCUCGCCGGAAGACCAAGGGUUCCUGUCCAACGUUAAUCGGGGCAGGGUGAGUCGACCCCUAAGGCGAGGCCGAAAGGCGUAGUCGAUGGGAAACGGGUUAAUAUUCCCGUACUUGGUGUUACUGCGAAGGGGGGACGGAGAAGGCUAUGUUGGCCGGGCGACGGUUGUCCCGGUUUAAGCGUGUAGGUGUGUGUUCCAGGUAAAUCCGGUUCACUUUAACACUGAGGCGUGACGACGAGGCACUACGGUGCUGAAGCAACAAAUGCCCUGCUUCCAGGAAAAGCCUCUAAGCAUCAGGUAACAUCAAAUCGUACCCCAAACCGACACAGGUGGUCAGGUAGAGAAUACCAAGGCGCUUGAGAGAACUCGGGUGAAGGAACUAGGCAAAAUGGUGCCGUAACUUCGGGAGAAGGCACGCUGACACGUAGGUGAAGUGAUUUACUCAUGGAGCUGAAGUCAGUCGAAGAUACCAGCUGGCUGCAACUGUUUAUUAAAAACACAGCACUGUGCAAACACGAAAGUGGACGUAUACGGUGUGACGCCUGCCCGGUGCCGGAAGGUUAAUUGAUGGGGUCAGCGCAAGCGAAGCUCCUGAUCGAAGCCCCGGUAAACGGCGGCCGUAACUAUAACGGUCCUAAGGUAGCGAAAUUCCUUGUCGGGUAAGUUCCGACCUGCACGAAUGGCGUAAUGAUGGCCAGGCUGUCUCCACCCGAGACUCAGUGAAAUUGAACUCGCUGUGAAGAUGCAGUGUACCCGCGGCAAGACGGAAAGACCCCGUGAACCUUUACUAUAGCUUGACACUGAACAUUGAGCCUUGAUGUGUAGGAUAGGUGGGAGGCUUUGAAGUGUGGACGCCAGUCUGCAUGGAGCCGACCUUGAAAUACCACCCUUUAAUGUUUGAUGUUCUAACGUGGACCCGUUACCCGGGUUGCGGACAGUGUCUGGUGGGUAGUUUGACUGGGGCGGUCUCCUCCUAAAGAGUAACGGAGGAGCACGAAGGUUGGCUAAUCCUGGUCGGACAUCAGGAGGUUAGUGCAAUGGCAUAAGCCAGCUUGACUGCGAGCGUGACGGCGCGAGCAGGUGCGAAAGCAGGUCAUAGUGAUCCGGUGGUUCUGAAUGGAAGGGCCAUCGCUCAACGGAUAAAAGGUACUCCGGGGAUAACAGGCUGAUACCGCCCAAGAGUUCAUAUCGACGGCGGUGUUUGGCACCUCGAUGUCGGCUCAUCACAUCCUGGGGCUGAAGUAGGUCCCAAGGGUAUGGCUGUUCGCCAUUUAAAGUGGUACGCGAGCUGGGUUUAGAACGUCGUGAGACAGUUCGGUCCCUAUCUGCCGUGGGCGCUGGAGAACUGAGGGGGGCUGCUCCUAGUACGAGAGGACCGGAGUGGACGCAUCACUGGUGUUCGGGUUGUCAUGCCAAUGGCACUGCC